Molecule: long non-coding RNA, 236 nt
Filed under: Lathyrus oleraceus (garden pea)
Lineage: Eukaryota; Viridiplantae; Streptophyta; Magnoliopsida; Fabales; Fabaceae
Description: Pisum sativum (pea) long non-coding RNA (PSAT_LNC034767)
Source: RNAcentral
UUCUUUUGCUUUGCUUGUUUGUUAUUGCUCAUUGCCUAUUCCAAAGGACACACUUGAAUCAUCUUCUAUAUGAUCUCAAGAGGUGAACCUUCUAGGAAGUUUUACACUCCAUCUUCAUCCAUUCACCCAUUUAGUCCUAAACCUUUUCACACAUUGCUUUCAAAAAUUGAGAUAAAUAUUGUACAAACAUCUUCAUGCUUUCAAAUUAGAAACCUGGACCCUAAGUCCUUGACUUU